UGGGCUUCAGUGUCUCGUCUGUACCUCGAGUAGACUGAGGUCAUGGUCUCUGAUGCUCUGGUUCCUCCCCAGGUGAAGGCUUUCGUCACGCAGGACAUUCCAUUCUAGUAUCCUUCUGUUCUGGGGGAGGGGAAAUGGGAUGGGCACCUGGGAGAAUCUCCACGUAACUUCAGAAAGGGGUGGCAGAUGGUUUUCAACUGACAAGUUGAAUUGAUUGGUAGUGGCUCCCAGAGGAUUCUGAGGUGGUCUCCAUGUUGGGUGGGCAAGAGAGAUUGACUAGUGAUGACUGCCACAGAAUGGAGAGGAGGGCCCUUUACUUCUUUGAACCCUAAUUUUCUCACGUAUAAGCGGAGACCCUGGCCCCUCCCGGGCACAGAGUAAGCUCUGAGCAAAGGAGGCAAUGCUGUUCCCAUCAGUAAGGCUGCGGAAACCACCACCUCCCUCUGCCCACCACCCCGCUCCUUAACACCACCUCCAGUCACAACCUGGUGAUGAAACACCUCCCUGGGGCCGACCCUGAGCUCGUGCUGCUGGGCCGCCGCUACGAGGAACUAGAGCGCAUCCCACUCAGUGAAAUGACCCGCGAAGAGAUCAAUGCGCUAGUGCAGGAGCUCGGCUUCUACCGCAAGGCGGCGCCCGACGCGCAGGUGCCCCCCGAGUACGUGUGGGCGCC
This 673-nucleotide long non-coding RNA is filed under the name Homo sapiens (human). RNAcentral describes it as "non-protein coding lnc-PLA2G3-3:3". Lineage: Eukaryota; Metazoa; Chordata; Mammalia; Primates; Hominidae. The record is from RNAcentral.